CGAACCGUCCGAACGUUGUUCGGAAUCACUGGGCUUAAAGGGCGCGUAGGCGGGCUGCCAAGUCUGUGGUGAAAUCCUCCGGCUCAACCGGAGAACUGCCGUGGAUACUGGCGGCCUCGAGGAAGAUAGGGGACUCUGGAACUGUGCGUGGAGCGGUGAAAUGCGUUGAUAUGCACAGGAACUCCGGUGGCGAAGGCGAGGGUCUGGAUCUUUUCUGACGCUGAGGCGCGAAAGCCAGGGGAGCGAACGGGAUCAGAUACCCCGGUAGUCCUGGCCCUAAACGUUGAGUACUAGCUAGUAGACUUGAUACGGGUUUACUGGCGAAGCAAAAGUGCUAAGUACUCCGCCUGGGGAGUAUGGUCGCAAGACUG
RNAcentral lists this ribosomal RNA (371 nucleotides) under uncultured organism. RNAcentral describes it as "bacterial SSU rRNA". It matches the Rfam family "Bacterial small subunit ribosomal RNA", at positions 526 to 896 of the family's 1533-position model. The record is from RNAcentral.